AAGGGAAAAGAGUUCUUCAGAUCGUUCCCCUGCCCAACUUCCUCAGAGCCCGGGUGGGUGAGAUACAGAGACUUCCAUCACCCCCUCCCGGACCCCUGCCUCCCCCACCCUCGGCAAGCUCCGGGCCUAGGCAGCCACCCGAGACCUCACUUACCCUCGGCGCCUGGCGAGUGCUUUAGCCUCGGGCCGCCUCCGCCUCUCCCGCUCCCAACGGCCCACGGGCGGGCGCCGGAGCCCCGCGCGGGAGAACGGGGCCGGCUGGUGAGCGAAGAGAGGCAAAGGGCUCCGCCACCGUCAGAACCCGCGACUCCGCUCUCGGUAAAUAGGAAACCCGGUGGAGGGGGGGGAGGAGCGGCGGCACCGCAACUUCCCUCCCCGCCUCGAGCGCCGCCGGCCGGGCCCGGGCCUAGGCCUCCCUGGCUACCGCCGCCGCCGCCGCCGGAGCUGGUACCAGAGCCCGCUACGUGCCCCCGAUGGGCCGCCGCCGCCUCCUGCGCCGCCGCUUCCGUCGGUGAAUGGUCAGCGCUAGAGUUUGAACAGGGCCCUGAACCAUCUCAACGCCAUUUGCGCUCCCGGCCCCCACCUCCUUCCUCCAACAGCGGCUCGCUCCGUCACUCCGCUUCCCACAGGCCCCGCGCGGCCGCCCGACCCCACAGCCAAUCGCGCGGCUGCUUACUCAAACCGCCGCGCAGGCGCCGCGCCCCGCAUGCUCCGGCGCCCGCCAUUGGGCCGACCGCGGCGCCCGACGGGAGUUGUAGUCCGGGUCCGCGAGGUCGCGGCGCUGAGAGCUCGGCGCGGGAGCUGGCAGCGGGAGGAGAGGUUGCGGCGGACCCGGACGGCCCGGGCUCCGGAGCAAGUUCCAGCUGCUGGCCCUGCCGGGAGACGCAGGUGCCACGGGGGAGGGCCGGGGGCGCAGUGCAGGCAGCUGUGUCAAUCGUUUCCCCUCCAGGGACUCGCCGGUGUCUGGAGACGACUGUCAGCGGUAUGAUGUCAGAGACCUUGUCUACCCGCUCAUCCUCAGCAUCCAAGCACGGUACUGCACUGUCCAGCUGUGUGUGUCCACCAAGCACUGGAAAUGUGGCUAGUCCAACCUGAGAUGUUCUGGAAAUACAAAGCACUGGGUUUCCAAGGCUUAGUACAAAAAUUGUAUAUAUAAAGUAUCUCGAUUGUUAUACUGAUAAAAUGUUGAAAUAAUAAUAUUUUGAAUAUAUUGUGUUAAGUAGAAUAUGUUAUUAAAGUUAAUUUCUUCUCCUUUUUACCUUUUUUAAUGUAGCUACUAGAAAAAGUAAAUUUGUGACCUUGCAUUAUAUCUCUAUUAGAUAGACAGAAUCUAUAGAAGUUGCUAUAGAAGUUCAGUAAAUAUUUAUUGAAGGAAAAUGUAAAAAAAUAGACUUACGGGGCUUCCCUAGUGGCACAGUGGUUGAGAGUCCGCCUGCCGAUGCAGGGGACACGGGUUCGUGCGCCGGUCCGGGAAGAUCCCACGUGCCGCGGAGCAGCUGGGCCCGUGAGCCACGGCUGCUGAGCCUGCGCGUCUGGAGCCUGUGCUCCGCAAUGCGAGAGGCCACAACAGUGACAGGCCCGCGUACCGCAAAAAAUAUAGACUUACCAGGGAAUGCCCUGGUGGUCCAGUGGUUAGGACUCGGCUCUUUCGCUGCCAAGGGCCUGGGUUCAAUCCCUGGUCAGGGAACUUAUAUACCACAAGCUGUGCAGUGUGGGCCCCCCCCAAAAAAGAAAUAGACUUACCAAAAGAAAUGAGCUCUCAAGCCACAAAAAGACAUGGAAGAACCUUAAAUGCAUAUUACUAAGAGACAGAAGCCAGUCUGAAAAGUCCACAUACCGUAUGAUUCCAACUAUAUGAUGUUUUGGAAAAGCAAGAUGAGUUGAGAUAGAGUGACUGCCAAGAGAUUUACAGGAAGGGAGGAGGAGUAAUGAAUAGGUGAAGCACAGGGGAUUUUUUUAGGGUGGUGAAACGAUUCUGUAUGACACUGUAACGGUGUGUGCAUGAUAGUGUGCACUUGUCAAAACCCAUGGAGCUGUAAAACAGAGCGAACACUAAUGUAAACUAGGGACUUUAGUUAACAAUGUAUCAAUAUUGGUUCAUUAAUUGUAACAAAUAUACCACACUAAUGCAAGACAGUAAACUGGGGGGGUGGGGAGGGAGGUAUAUGGGAAUUCUCUGUAUUCUGUGCUCAGUUUUUCUGUGCACCUAAAACUGUUCUAAAGAAAGUCUAUUUAAAAAGAUGAAUUCACACACAGCCACCAGAACGAUAAUUCUAAAAUAUGAAUGUAACAAACCACCUACCUCUUUUAAAAAAAACUUUGGUGGCUCCCCACUGUCUACCAGAAAUGAGUUCACAUCCAUUGGCAUUUGCAGUGGCGUUGACCACCCCUCCCAUCCCGCUUCCUCUCCUCUCUACCUGUAUCAGACUACUCAAGAGCCUCAAGCCUUCAUUGCAAGACUCAUUCAGUCCCCUCUGCCUGUAAAGUCUUUCUCCCUCUCCACUUGUGGAACCUUACCAUGAAUCAUAUACCCUCUCACAUAAAUCAAUUAUCCUCUAUUCCGUGUUUCCAUAGUUCUCAAAAGUAGAUACAGAAAACCAGGCAUGUGGAGUUUUGGUCAUAUUAGAGUUUUGUGCCUCUUUCUAGUAAGUCUGGAAAAUGGCUAUGAUGAGUAUAUGUAUUGGAAGUGUUGAAAAAGAAUUCUGAUAGCCGCAGGCAGGCUAGAGAUUAAUAUCCUUGAGAUGGAAACAGUGGAAGAACAAGGCUAUUGAAUGUCAGUGAAGAUCUGCUUGGGCUCUCCUCCUAGGCAGGAGGCAGUGGGAUAUGCUGCUGGGAGCAAGAUCCAUCCCAACAGUGAGGUGGUGUUAGCUGACUGCCUAGCUACAGUGACAGGAGGCAGGCCUCUGGGUUGUCACCUGCUCUGAAAGCCAAUCUCCCUCUGACUGCUGCUCACCCAAGCCAGGAUGCCAGGGUGAUUCAGUUUCAAGUAUUUCACUUGCAGGGCAAACGAUAGUGUGGUAGUGACAUUACCGUCUCUACUGUCAUGUAGCAGAGCCUCAGGAGAGCAUGUGAGAAAACAGGUGAGCAGGCUUCCAGGUGCUGAGUUUACGAUGCAGAUUUCCCUACAUCUCCUUUUCAGGGAUUUUGGUUCUAUUAUCCAGUCACUCUGCUGAUGGGAAACUUAAGGAACACUGUCAAAGAUAAAUGAUUUGCCAAAGAUCACCCAGCUACUUAGGUGUCUGUCUUUCUCCAAAGGUCACAGGCAUGAAGCAUGUACUAUCCUGGGCCCUUAAUAUCAGGCCAUGUAGAGGAACCCUAUAGUUUUGCUGUCCUUUUAAGCCAGAGGUUCAGGCCUGCCUGGAAAAGUAAGAAUCUGGUUGAGACUUUGGGGGUAUUUAGAGGAAGAGGCCAGGUUGGAGUCAGGAAUGGACUAGUCCUUGCAAGAUAAAACAAAUCUAGGAGACCCUAGGAGAUAUGUAAUCUGUGAACACCAAGGGUAGAGGGGCAGACAGGUGUCUACAAGACCAGGCUUAUUCAACAGUUUGGGGCCACAGUGCCUAGUCUUACCCAGGUGAUAUACAAUCUCUUCCCACCUUGUCCAUUGGGUCCUCUGACAGCACCCAGAUGCUAUUACUGGGAUAGAGAGCGGGCUCCUCUACUCUAAGCUGUUCCUCCUCCCUUCCCUGUGUCCCUCAGCUGGCCCAGGGGAUCCACAACUUGGGACAGAGGAAACACAGGAAUUGGGAUUUCAAAGAAAUGCUUAUGAAUAACCUGGGCAGGGAUUUCUUCCAGUGACAAACUCCAGCUCUUGGGUGAGAGCCCUCCUAAUCUGUACAUACCCCAGCCUGGCCCAUAGUUUGGGCAGCUC
Molecule: long non-coding RNA, 3868 nt
Filed under: Delphinapterus leucas (beluga whale)
Lineage: Eukaryota; Metazoa; Chordata; Mammalia; Artiodactyla; Monodontidae
Description: lncRNA (ENSDLEG00000012055.1)
Rfam family: tRNA (bases 1615-1687)
Source: RNAcentral